AGUGAAAUAGAACCUGAAACCCUGCACUUACAAGCUGUGGAAGCACAUUUCUAGUGUGACCGCGUACUUUUUGUAGAACGGGCCAACGAGUUACGUUAAGUAGCAAGUUUAAGCACUCAAGGUGCGGCGCCGUAGCGAAAGCGAGUUUUAACUGAGCGUUCAGUUACUUGACGUAGACCCGAAACCGGGCGACCUACCCAUGAGCAGGAUGAAGCGAAAGUAAAUUUUCGUGGAGGUCCGAACCCACGAGCGUUG
This 255-nucleotide ribosomal RNA is filed under the name Clostridioides difficile. RNAcentral's name for it is "partial 23S ribosomal RNA". It matches the Rfam family "Bacterial large subunit ribosomal RNA", at positions 537 to 791 of the family's 2925-position model. The record is from RNAcentral. Lineage: Bacteria; Bacillati; Bacillota; Clostridia; Peptostreptococcales; Peptostreptococcaceae.